GGAGGCACACGCCAAUGUUUAUCUCCCAUGCAUACAUACAAACACAUACACACACGCACAUGUAAAGGCACACAGUAGUGCUGGGAAAAAGAUCGAUCUAGCAAACGAUAUAUCGAUGUUUCAUAUCCAUCGAAAAUAUCGAUGUAGAAAACUUCGAUACUUGAUAUAUCGCCAUCACUAUACCAUUAAUUCCCCAUCACUUGAAUUAAAAGCGUGGGAUAAGACUGUCAGGAUUUUGGAGUUGUCUCAAGCCGCAGCAAGUAGAUAUGCUGCUCUUUAUAAACAAAAAUGAUUGGACGAAGUAAAUGAUCUUAUUAAAUAAUAUAAUCUUUGUUA
Molecule: long non-coding RNA, 336 nt
Organism: Drosophila mojavensis
Lineage: Eukaryota; Metazoa; Arthropoda; Insecta; Diptera; Drosophilidae
Exons: 2
Source: RefSeq, a predicted model, not a curated record